UGGGGAAUCUUCCGCAAUGGACGAAAGUCUGACGGAGCAACGCCGCGUGAGUGAUGACGGCCUUCGGGUUGUAAAGCUCUGUUAAUCGGGACGAAAGGCCUUCUUGCGAACAGUUAGAAGGAUUGACGGUACCGGAAUAGAAAGCCACGGCUAACUACGUGCCAGCAGCCGCGGUAAUACGUAGGUGGCAAGCGUUGUCCGGAAUUAUUGGGCGUAAAGCGCGCGCAGGCGGAUCAGUCAAUCUGUCUUAAAAGUUCGGGGCUUAACCCCGUGAUGGGAUGGAAACUGCUGAUCUAGAGUAUCGGAGAGGAAAGUGGAAUUCCUAGUGUAGCGGUGAAAUGCGUAGAUAUUAGGAAGAACACCAGUGGCGAAGGCGACUUUCUGGACGAAAACUGACGCUGAGGCGCGAAAGCCAGGGGAGCGAACGGGAUUAGAUACCCCGGUAGUCCUGGCCGUAAACGAUGGGUACUAGGUGUAGGAGGUAUCGACCCCUUCUGUGCCGGAGUUAACGCAAUAAGUACCCCGCCUGGGGAGUACGACCGCAAGGUUG
This 550-nucleotide ribosomal RNA is filed under the name uncultured bacterium. Its description in RNAcentral is "bacterial SSU rRNA". It matches the Rfam family "Bacterial small subunit ribosomal RNA", at positions 355 to 896 of the family's 1533-position model. The record is from RNAcentral.